UUUGGAGGCGCAUGCGCUUUUGGUUCUUGAGUGGCUUCCAUUGGAAAUCUUUAUAUACGCUAGCAGUUUGGCAUAUUGCUAUUGAAGCUGAAGAAGUCCUAAAUUAUAAAACGCUCUGCAUAAUAAUCAAAAUGUCACGCAAUGUCCGGGACUGGCGUUUGGACUGCAAAGUUUAUGUUGGUGACUUGGGCUAUGGUGCAGCCAAGCAGGAACUUGAAGAGAGGUUUGGCAAGUACGGCCCACUAAGAAAUGUGUGGGUAGCACGAAAACCACCUGGUUUUGCUUUCGUGGAAUUUGAGGAUCCAAGAGAUGCUGAGGAUGCUACAAGGGCUUUAGAUGGACAGAGAGUAAAUGGACGGAGAGUGAGAGUAGAGAUGUCUUCUGGUAAAUCACGGUGGGGCAGUAGGGGCCCACCCCCAACACGAGUGGGUGGCCGGUACGAUGAUGACAAGAAAGUAAGAAGAGGACGAUCAAGGCUCUUCCAACAACCUCCCCCUCACUACAACGUAGUGUUGGUCACCCGAUACGCCCUUUGACAUCGCUACAAGUCACCGCAGGGCAUCGGCGCUUACUGCAGCCCCAGUCUGCAUUGCAAAUUCAGCGUGGGACUUAACAACACAUUAGGCUGUCUCACUGAGGCUAUAUCCCCUCAAUUCCACGUUUUCACAAGCCUCUUGUCGCUGCCUCAACAAACAACCCCUUUCUUCUUGUCACCAUAACAACAUCUCACAUGUCAGCCGUUCUUCAAGCUACGAACCAGCAGGCAGCAUUUCCAACUUUAUCAUCAGCUUCCAAAUGAAAGCAACAUUUGAAGCAAUUCAUCAGACUCAUCAAAAAACUUCCUUCCUCGAAGGAUCAUUCUCGCCGAGAAGACGCUCUGCAUCACCAAGGCGUAGAAGUCGAAGUGACUCUGGAUCUCCACGUAGACGGAGCCGCAGCAGAUAAAUGAUAUGCAGAAUACAGAAUAAAGACUUUGGUUAUCUCAAGUAACUGACAUGGUACAUGUUUGAUUCGACUGAUGUCAAUGGACGUGAUUUGAUGCUAUUCACCAACCAUUAGCAGGACAGUUUGAUAAACUUGGCAUUGAUAUUGUGCCUAGGUUUUUAUGUCAUUUUAUGAUUUGUUAGAAAGUGAAAAUAGUAUUCAGGUAUUUAUCCAGGGGUAUGGUGGGUUCGAUCAUAGGCCCCUUUCCAAAAGAAAGUGGCACUGAAAAUGUUUGUACUAAAAAUUCCCAAUAUAUAUAUUUAAUUAUGUCUGUUCUGAUAAAUUAAUUUAACAGUGGUGUACUGCAUCAUUCAGUGGCCUGAAAAAUAUCCCAAGUAUGAUUUAUUUGUGCUAAUUAUCCAAAUCCGAUCGAACAUGGGACCAUGGCGAAAAAUCCUGGAUAAGUCCCUGGUAUUCCAUUAAUAUUCAUUCAUCAUUAGGAUUCAUUUUCCUCUAUGCGAUUCAAUUGCAUGCAGAUUCAUUGUUACAUCUGUUUUAAUUGUCAAACUUUUUGCAAAGUUGUUUUAAAUAUUUUUCUCAUUUACAAUAAACGUUUUUAAAAUGGAGCAAUCAAGAAUUAACCCUAUUUGAUACAGUUGUUAAUGAUUGCAUCAAAUUUUGGUACUUAUAUUCAAGUUCUGAAGUUUGUUCAAUAUACGGUAAGAUGUUGAUUUGAGUUUGAAUAGAGGAAAUCCUCGUAACAUUCUGGCAUUGAAGUAGCAUUUUUUUUAGUUAACACAAAAUAUUGAGAUACAUUUAACAAGUUUACAUUUCCCAUUAUUUUUACUAUAAAAUUCUGUAACAAAACACACUGAUACUUAAUAAUGGAUAUUAAUAUGUCACUUAACUUAAUAGUUCUUUAAUAUCGCUCCUAAUACUGACAUUUGUAUGUGUAUCUUAUUUAACUAAAAGAUAUACAUCACUUGUGUACAGAUAACCUUCUGGUAAUCUGAAUGCUAUUCUUGAUAUUUUUGGAAUAUUUUCUGCAGUACUUUUCUGUUGACUUUGAAGUUAUGGUUGUAAAUAACAAGCUUUUGUUUUAAUGUUUUCAAUUGUUUUUACAUCAUAGCAUUCUGAAAAUAAAUAAAUGUUGUAUGUACAUGCUCUGCGACAAACUUG
This is an RNA transcript of Gigantopelta aegis, 2103 nucleotides long. It is a transcript of the gene named serine/arginine-rich splicing factor 3-like, with no coding region annotated. The transcript has 6 exons. The record is from RefSeq and is a predicted model, not a curated record. NCBI's taxonomy places the organism in Eukaryota, Metazoa, Mollusca, Gastropoda, Neomphalida, Peltospiridae.